This 360-nucleotide transfer-messenger RNA is filed under the name Planctomycetota bacterium. Its description in RNAcentral is "Planctomycetes bacterium transfer-messenger RNA". It matches the Rfam family "transfer-messenger RNA". Rfam says of the family: Bacterial tmRNA, also known as 10Sa RNA or SsrA, is named for its dual tRNA and mRNA-like properties. The record is from RNAcentral. Lineage: Bacteria; Pseudomonadati; Planctomycetota. RNAcentral also lists the same sequence under 1 other name.
GGGGGCGAAUGGCUUCGACCGGACAGGUAGACGGUCGGGUUGCAUGUCCAGGAUGUCGGUUGGCCUGGCUAAAAAUCCGGCAACUUAAUUUUACCUGGCAACUAUCAGUUGCAAAUGGCCGCCUAAAUUGAGCGGCCCGUCCCGACGGACUUUUUCCUGCGGGUCUGUCAGGGGCGCCAAACAGCGGGAUAGCCGAUGCGGGUGUUCGCGACGCAAAAGGCGAAUUUAAUCGCGAAAUAGCAAAGGUAUAAGCCUGUCGUUUGGCGUAUACCCGAGCGAAUUUCAAAUAAACGACUAAACAUGUAGACGCCCGCCCUGAAAUGUCACGGGACGGGGGUUCGAAUCCCCCCGCCUCCAUUU